Molecule: long non-coding RNA, 747 nt
Organism: Ziziphus jujuba (common jujube)
Lineage: Eukaryota; Viridiplantae; Streptophyta; Magnoliopsida; Rosales; Rhamnaceae
Exons: 2
Source: RefSeq, a predicted model, not a curated record
GAAGUAACGCUAAGCUAUUGUUCCUUGUAUUAUCCAAUCUUUACAGAAAACUCUCACAAAAUGGGAGAAGGAUCGAUUCUAAUUGUCAUAAAAUAAAAACAUUAACUUUCAUUGGUAGACCUCCCAAUCAAGAUUUGACUCAUGGAUACGGUCCAACUAAAAUAUUAGUCCUGACUUUUCGAUAUGUCAAUCUCUCAUUGGUCCUUUUUUUUUUUUUUUUUGGUUCAAUGCUUUGGCACGUGGUAUAAGUAUUAUAUUAUAACUUUGCGGCCAGAUUUUUAGCUGAGAAUUCUUUCGGGUUUGCGAGCAAGAUGGCCUGCUCAGGACCUUUUCGUCUUUCUGAUGUCUUUACUGCUUAUCAGUGUUCCGAGAUCUUAGCCGUGAGUUCACCGCAGGUCUCCAACUCCUCUGUCUAAACCUGGAUGAUAUAUACCGCAGCUUUCGAAGAAAAUAGGUAGGCUUCUUGAUUUUGUUUAUGCAGAAGAAUAUAGGUAGAAGAUUAGGUUGAAGUAAGGCAAGCAUGAAGAGCAAGGACCAAAAGCUUCAGUAGCGAAUUCGGGGAAGCGCAAGCCAUCGCGCUUUACAUCACAUUUUUUGAACUAUUACCACACUAUAAUACCAUAUCGUUUGCCCAAAGAUCACAUAUGAUCAUAUUCAUUGAAGCUUCCUGUGUGUGGAAAAAUGAACUACCUUCUUGCUCUUGAAAGCCAGCUUAUAUAUAAAAUAAACAGUUUUUAUUAGUUCCCA